UACGAAGGGAACUAGCGUUGUCCGGAAUUACUGGGCGUAAAGAGCGCGUAGGCGGUUUAUUAAGUUGGGAGUGAAAUCCCGGGGCUCAACCCCGGACUGCUUUCUAAAACUAGAUAGACUAGAGUGUGAUAGGGGGUGGAUGGAAUUCCUAGUGUAGAGGUGAAAUUCUUAGAUAUUAGGAGGAACAUCGGUGGCGAAGGCGAUCGCCUGGAUCACAACUGACGCUGAGGCGCGAAAGCGUGGGGAGCAAACAGGAUUAGAUACCCGAGUAGU
RNAcentral lists this ribosomal RNA (273 nucleotides) under uncultured bacterium. RNAcentral's name for it is "partial 16S ribosomal RNA". It matches the Rfam family "Bacterial small subunit ribosomal RNA", at positions 524 to 794 of the family's 1533-position model. The record is from RNAcentral.